CGAACGGGUGAGUAACGCGUGAGGAACCUGCCUCAAAGAGGGGACGAACAGUUGGAAACGACUGCUAAUACCGCAUAAGCCCACGGCUCGGCAUCGAGCAGAGGGAAAGGAGCAAUCCGCUUUGAGAUGGCCUCGCGUCCGAUUAGCUAGUUGGUGAGGUAACGGCCCACCAAGGCGACGAUCGGUAGCCGGACUGGGAGGUUGAACGGCCACAUUGGGACUGAGACACGGCCCAG
RNAcentral lists this ribosomal RNA (236 nucleotides) under uncultured bacterium. RNAcentral's name for it is "partial 16S ribosomal RNA". It matches the Rfam family "Bacterial small subunit ribosomal RNA", at positions 99 to 334 of the family's 1533-position model. The record is from RNAcentral.